Molecule: ribosomal RNA, 498 nt
Filed under: uncultured bacterium
Lineage: Bacteria
Description: partial 16S ribosomal RNA
Rfam family: Bacterial small subunit ribosomal RNA
Source: RNAcentral
GACGAACGCUGGCGGCGUGCCUAAUACAUGCAAGUCGAGCGGACGAUUCGAAAGCUUGCUUUUGAAUCGUUAGCGGCGGACGGGUGAGUAACACGUGGGCAACCUGCCCUGUAGACGGGGAUAACACCGAGAAAUCGGUGCUAAUACCGGAUAACACGAAAUGUCGCAUGACGUUUCGUUGAAAGGCGGCGCAAGCUGCCGCUACAGGAUGGGCCCGCGGCGCAUUAGCUAGUUGGUGAGGUAACGGCUCACCAAGGCGACGAUGCGUAGCCGACCUGAGAGGGUGAUCGGCCACACUGGGACUGAGACACGGCCCAGACUCCUACGGGAGGCAGCAGUAGGGAAUCUUCCGCAAUGGACGAAAGUCUGACAGAGCAACGCCGCGUGAGCGAAGAAGGCCUUCGGGUCGUAAAGCUCUGUUGUUAGGGAAGAACAAGUAACGUAGUAACUGACGUUACUAUGACGGUACCUAACGAGAAAGCCACGGCUAACUACGUG